UGGGGAAUAUUGCACAAUGGGCGCAAGCCUGAUGCAGCCAUGCCGCGUGUGUGAAGAAGGCCUUCGGGUUGUAAAGCACUUUCAGCGAGGAGGAAGGGUAGUGUGUUAAUAGCACAUUGCAUUGACGUUACUCGCAGAAGAAGCACCGGCUAACUCCGUGCCAGCAGCCGCGGUAAUACGGAGGGUGCAAGCGUUAAUCGGAAUUACUGGGCGUAAAGCGCACGCAGGGGGUUUGUUAAGUCAGAUGUGAAAUCCCCGCGCUUAACGUGGGAACUGCAUUUGAAACUGGCAAGCUAGAGUCUUGUAGAGGGGGGUAGAAUUCCAGGUGUAGCGGUGAAAUGCGUAGAGAUCUGGAGGAAUACCGGUGGCGAAGGCGGCCCCCUGGACAAAGACUGACGCUCAGGUGCGAAAGCGUGGGGAGCAAACA
Molecule: ribosomal RNA, 427 nt
Filed under: uncultured bacterium
Lineage: Bacteria
Description: partial 16S ribosomal RNA
Rfam family: Bacterial small subunit ribosomal RNA
Source: RNAcentral